CAGUCGCCGCGGGAAUACGUAGGGUGCAAGCGUUAAUCGGAAUUACUGGGCGUAAAGCGUGCGUAGGUGGUGGUUUAAGUCCGUUGUGAAAGCCCUGGGCUCAACCUGGGAAUUGCAGUGGAUACUGGGUCACUAGAGUGUGGUAGAGGAUAGUGGAAUUUCCGGUGUAGCAGUGAAAUGCGUAGAGAUCGGAAGGAACAUCUGUGGCGAAGGCGACUAUCUGGGCCAACACUGACACUGAGGCACGAAAGCGUGGGGAGCAAACAGGAUUAGAUACCCGUGUAGUCCCUGUCUCUUAUAC
This 301-nucleotide ribosomal RNA is filed under the name uncultured bacterium. RNAcentral's name for it is "partial 16S ribosomal RNA". It matches the Rfam family "Bacterial small subunit ribosomal RNA", at positions 509 to 807 of the family's 1533-position model. The record is from RNAcentral.